GAUACCAGGCUAGCGGCGGACCGGGUGAGUUACAACGUGGGGGUAACCCUGCCCAAGAGAUCGGGGAGUAACACCUGGGAAACAGAUAGCUAAUACCGGAUAACAACAGAUGAUGCCUAUCAACUGUUUAAAGAUGGUUCUGCUAUCACUCUUGGGAUGGACCUGCGGUGCAUUAGCUAGUUGGUAGGGGUAACGGGCCUACCAAGGCGAUGAUGCAUAGCCCGAGUUGAGAGACUGAUCGGGCCACAUUGGGACUGAGACACGGGCCCAAACUCCUACGGGAGGCAGCAGUAGGGGAAUCUUCCACAAUGGACGCAAAGUCUGAUGGAGCAAAACGCCGCGUGAGUGAAGAAGGGUUUCGGCUCGUAAAAGCUCUGUUGUUGGUGAAGAAGGACAGGGGUAGUAACUGACCCUUUGUUUGACGGUAAUCAAUUUAGAAAGUCACGGGCUAACUACGUGCCCAGCAGCCGCGGUAAAU
RNAcentral lists this ribosomal RNA (478 nucleotides) under uncultured Lactobacillus sp. RNAcentral describes it as "bacterial SSU rRNA". It matches the Rfam family "Bacterial small subunit ribosomal RNA", at positions 83 to 525 of the family's 1533-position model. The record is from RNAcentral. Lineage: Bacteria; Bacillati; Bacillota; Bacilli; Lactobacillales; Lactobacillaceae.